GUGGGUGUCCCCUUUCUCCCUCAAAUCCCCACACAUAGAUGGCCCUCCUAAAGCUGUGUGCUGAAAGAGGUUGACCACUCUCAAGAGACGAGGACAGUUUCCUCCAUUAAGGGUAUACAAGUAGUUGCGCUUCCUUGCUAGAACCUCCAGACAAGCUCUCAAGGAUGCUACUGUUAUAAUGACAAUAGCUUAGACUUAGAAACUAAGGUAGAUUACUCUUGAUAAUCAGCUUGACUU
Molecule: small RNA, 237 nt
Filed under: Chinchilla lanigera (long-tailed chinchilla)
Lineage: Eukaryota; Metazoa; Chordata; Mammalia; Rodentia; Chinchillidae
Description: 7SK RNA (ENSCLAG00000021395.1)
Rfam family: 7SK RNA
About the family: 7SK was discovered as an abundant small nuclear RNA in the mid-70s but a possible function has only recently been suggested. Two independent studies have found that 7SK RNA binds the CDK9/cyclin T complex (known as elongation factor P-TEFb).
Source: RNAcentral